Molecule: transfer RNA, 71 nt
Filed under: Paratelius emasensis
Lineage: Eukaryota; Metazoa; Arthropoda; Insecta; Coleoptera; Lycidae
Description: tRNA-Glu
Source: RNAcentral
UUAAUUUUACAAUGAAAAUGUAAGGUUUUUCUUAAACUAUACUAAAGAAAUAAGAACAAAUUAUUUGCUCU